Trachymyrmex cornetzi is the source of this 616-nucleotide RNA transcript. RefSeq lists it as uncharacterized. The record is from RefSeq and is a predicted model, not a curated record. The transcript is spliced from 4 exons. NCBI's taxonomy places the organism in Eukaryota, Metazoa, Arthropoda, Insecta, Hymenoptera, Formicidae.
GCACCAAGCAUAGACAUGACCUCUCAGCGUAGACGUAAUCUCUUUUACACCGAGAUUUAGCAGGAAAAUCUAAGGAAAUUAUAGAAUUGGAAAAUUUAUAUGUAAUAUGCCUGAACGAGUUAUUCUUAGCAUGUAUACAUGAGAUGUAUACAUGAAUCUAUACAAGAUCCACGAGUGUUUGUAAGAAAAGUAAUUGGGAAGAAUGUAUUAUCCAAGAAAUUAUCGAUAAGAGUGGUGUAAACCUGAUGUCAUCGUUAACACAAAGAAUAAUGGAAAAUCAAUAGAAGAUAUUGCAAUACCUGAUGUCCCUGUUGCUCCACUGCAUCGUAAAAAGAAAAUUAAGACAAAUACACCGGACGAUCUUGCUCCCUCUGCAGAAGCACUUGUUUCCCCGUCGCCGCUUCCAAGUCCAGCAAGUACUAUAGAAUUGAUUACGAGAGAAUUCGAGCACUUUUGAUAUUUGAUCUGCGACAAAAGGCCAAUACAUUGUUGGGGAGGGUCUCCUUUAGGAUCUCAUUAGGAGACCGAAAAAGUGGUGAUUCUUCAUAAUUUUUUUUUUAAAGGAAGACUAAUAUUGUUUUAAAACUUUUUACACGUUUUAACAUAACUAUUGUAA